Molecule: transfer RNA, 72 nt
Filed under: Bos taurus (domestic cattle)
Lineage: Eukaryota; Metazoa; Chordata; Mammalia; Artiodactyla; Bovidae
Also listed under: 6 other names
Rfam family: tRNA
About the family: Transfer RNA (tRNA) molecules are approximately 80 nucleotides in length. Their secondary structure includes four short double-helical elements and three loops (D, anti-codon, and T loops).
Source: Rfam by way of RNAcentral
UCCCCAGUGGCUCAGAUGGUAAAGAAUCUGCCUGCAAUGCAGGAGACCCAGGUUCAAUCCCUGGGUCGGGAA